CGGGGAGUAGCUCAGCUUGGUAGAGCAUCUGGUUUGGGACCAGAGGGUCGUAGGUUCGAAUCCUGUCUCCCCGACCA
RNAcentral lists this transfer RNA (77 nucleotides) under Pseudomonadota bacterium. Its description in RNAcentral is "Proteobacteria bacterium tRNA-Pro". It matches the Rfam family "tRNA". Rfam says of the family: Transfer RNA (tRNA) molecules are approximately 80 nucleotides in length. Their secondary structure includes four short double-helical elements and three loops (D, anti-codon, and T loops). Further hydrogen bonds mediate the characteristic L-shaped molecular structure. tRNAs have two regions of fundamental functional importance: the anti-codon, which is responsible for specific mRNA codon recognition, and the 3' end, to which the tRNAs corresponding amino acid is attached (by aminoacyl-tRNA synthetases). tRNAs cope with the degeneracy of the genetic code in two manners: having more than one tRNA (with a specific anti-codon) for a particular amino acid; and 'wobble' base-pairing, i.e. permitting non-standard base-pairing at the 3rd anti-codon position. The record is from RNAcentral. Lineage: Bacteria; Pseudomonadati; Pseudomonadota. RNAcentral also lists the same sequence under 1 other name.